Molecule: ribosomal RNA, 506 nt
Filed under: uncultured bacterium
Lineage: Bacteria
Description: partial 16S ribosomal RNA
Rfam family: Bacterial small subunit ribosomal RNA
Source: RNAcentral
GAUGAACGCUAGCUACAGGCUUAACACAUGCAAGUCGAGGGGUAACGAGAGGGAAGCUUGCUUUCCUUGUCGACGACCGGCGCACGGGUGAGUAACGCGUAUCCAACCUGCCCACAACUAGGGAAUAACCUCGCGAAAGUAAGACUAAUACCCUAUAAUUUCCUCAGAUGUCAUCUGACGAGGAAUAAAGAUUUAUCGGUUGUGGAUGGGGAUGCGUCUGAUUAGCUUGUUGGCGGGGUAACGGCCCACCAAGGCAACGAUCAGUAGAGGUUCUGAGAGGAAGGUCCCCCACAUUGGAACUGAGACACGGUCCAAACUCCUACGGGAGGCAGCAGUGAGGAAUAUUGGUCAAUGGGCGGAAGCCUGAACCAGCCAAGUAGCGUGCAGGAUGACGGCCCUAUGGGUUGUAAACUGCUUUUAUACAGGAAUAAAGUUAGCCACGUGUGGUUAUUUGUAGGUACUGUAUGAAUAAGGACCGGCUAAUUCCGUGCCAGCAGCCGCCGCAG